GACGAACGCUGGCGGCGUGCUUAACACAUGCAAGUCGAACGGAAAGGCCCUGCUUUUGUGGGGUGCUCGAGUGGCGAACGGGUGAGUAACACGUGAGUAACCUGCCCUUGACUUUGGGAUAACUUCAGGAAACUGGGGCUAAUGCCGGAUAGGAGCUCCUGCUGCAUGGUGGGGGUUGGAAAGUUUCGGCGGUUGGGGAUGGACUCGCGGCUUAUCAGCUUGUUGGUGGGGUAGUGGCUUACCAAGGCUUUGACGGGUAGCCGGCAUGAGAGGGUGACCGGCCACAUUGGGACUGAGAUACGGCACAGACUCCAACGGGAGGCAGCAGUGGGGAAUAUUGCACAAUGGGCGGAAGCCUGAUGCAGCAACGCCGCGUGCGGGAUGACGGCCUUCGGGUUGUAAACCGCUUUCGCCUGUGACGAAGCGUGAGUGACGGUAAUGGGUAAAGAAGCACCGGCUAACUACGUG
Molecule: ribosomal RNA, 468 nt
Filed under: uncultured bacterium
Lineage: Bacteria
Description: partial 16S ribosomal RNA
Rfam family: Bacterial small subunit ribosomal RNA
Source: RNAcentral